This 120-nucleotide small RNA is filed under the name Roseburia sp. CAG:50. RNAcentral's name for it is "Clostridiales-1 RNA". It matches the Rfam family "Clostridiales-1 RNA". Lineage: Bacteria; Bacillati; Bacillota; Clostridia; Lachnospirales; Lachnospiraceae. The record is from Rfam by way of RNAcentral.
UGAUGUGAAAAAAGAGAUUUUCCUGUGGUUUUAUAAGCUACAGGAAAAUCUCUUUUAUACUGUAUAAGAUGAUGCCAGAAUUGUGGGAGUACGAAGUACGGAACAAUUCGUAUGGCAUCU